RNAcentral lists this ribosomal RNA (539 nucleotides) under Staphylococcus sp. RNAcentral's name for it is "bacterial SSU rRNA". It matches the Rfam family "Bacterial small subunit ribosomal RNA", at positions 1 to 524 of the family's 1533-position model. Lineage: Bacteria; Bacillati; Bacillota; Bacilli; Caryophanales; Staphylococcaceae. The record is from RNAcentral.
UUGGAGAGGUUGAUCCUGGCUCAGGAUGAGACGCUGGCGGCGUGCCUAAUACAUGCAAGUCGAGCGAACAGACGAGGAGCUUGCUCCUCUGACGUUAGCGGCGGACGGGUGAGUAACACGUGGAUAACCUACCUAUAAGACUGGGAUAACUUCGGGAAACCGGAGCUAAUACCGGAUAACAUGUUGAACCGCAUGGUUCAACAGUGAAAGACGGUCUUGCUGUCACUUAUAGAUGGAUCCGCGCCGCAUUAGCUAGUUGGUAAGGUAACGGCUUACCAAGGCAACGAUGCGUAGCCGACCUGAGAGGGUGAUCGGCCACACUGGAACUGAGACACGGUCCAGACUCCUACGGGAGGCAGCAGUAGGGAAUCUUCCGCAAUGGGCGAAAGCCUGACGGAGCAACGCCGCGUGAGUGAAGAAGGUCUUCGGAUCGUAAAACUCUGUUAUUAGGGAAGAACAAAUGUGUAAGUAACUAUGCACGUCUUGACGGUACCUAAUCAGAAAGCCACGGCUAACUACGUGCCAGCAGCCGGGGUAAU